RNAcentral lists this transfer RNA (75 nucleotides) under Chloroflexota bacterium. Its description in RNAcentral is "tRNA-Arg". It matches the Rfam family "tRNA". From Rfam's summary of the family: Transfer RNA (tRNA) molecules are approximately 80 nucleotides in length. Their secondary structure includes four short double-helical elements and three loops (D, anti-codon, and T loops). Further hydrogen bonds mediate the characteristic L-shaped molecular structure. tRNAs have two regions of fundamental functional importance: the anti-codon, which is responsible for specific mRNA codon recognition, and the 3' end, to which the tRNAs corresponding amino acid is attached (by aminoacyl-tRNA synthetases). tRNAs cope with the degeneracy of the genetic code in two manners: having more than one tRNA (with a specific anti-codon) for a particular amino acid; and 'wobble' base-pairing, i.e. permitting non-standard base-pairing at the 3rd anti-codon position. Lineage: Bacteria; Bacillati; Chloroflexota. The record is from RNAcentral.
GCCCCUGUAGCUCAAAAAGGAUAGAGCAGGGCACUCCUAAGGCCUUGGUUGGGGGUUCGAGUCCCUCCAGGGGCA